This is a long non-coding RNA of Papaver somniferum (opium poppy), 3056 nucleotides long. RefSeq lists it as uncharacterized. The transcript has 4 exons. The record is from RefSeq and is a predicted model, not a curated record. NCBI's taxonomy places the organism in Eukaryota, Viridiplantae, Streptophyta, Magnoliopsida, Ranunculales, Papaveraceae.
UGAAGGAGAUAAAUCGUGGUUCAAAUAUAAUCCCUUUCCUAUGCUCUCAUCCAAUGUCCCAGAUUUAACUUAUUCAUGCGUUACCCGAUCAUCUUCGAUAGAGUUAUUCGCAUCAUUUAAUCUCAUUCAUGCGGUGAAAGUCUCAGACGUUUCAUUCGUUGUCGUUCAAUGGAAUUGAAGGCCAGCCCUGAAUUCACUCACUGACCGUUUUUCUUCUUUGCAAUCAAUGGGAUUAAACCCACACAAUAUAUCUUUCCAGACGAUCCAAUAUAAUCACAGUUCAGUGGAAUUAUAAACCGCAUGAAGAAUAUGUUCAAUUGAUCCAUUAUAAUAUCAGGGAUUCUCCAGCCUCUCUCAGAACUGGGUUUUUUUUUUAUCGUAAAUUCAGGAUCAUGAUUACAUUUACCCGGGUUCUUUAAAGAUCGUUAGUUUAAUUCAUGGAUGUCUAACCAAAUUCUUAGUAACUCUGUAUGUAGAAUUACUAUCAAUUUCUGCAGAUUAAGAUGUGAAUUCGCUUAUGUCUAACUAAUCUCAAUUUUUCCUUAGGUUUGGAUCACAUAAAAAAAUAAAAAAACUUAGCAUUUUGGUAUAGUACGAACUUGGGAUGGACUUAUGGUGUUAACAUACCAAAAUCUAAUUCCAGCAUUUUAUGAGUAUAUCUUUAUUUUCAGUAAUAUGCAACAUGGUAAAAGCGCAAUAACAAAACACUUGGAUAUCGUUGUGAUGAUGAAACUCGUUACCCAUUCUGAAUCAUCAAAUUGAAGAACUUGAUAUGUUUGGUAAAAGCGCCAUAACAAAGUCAUUUAGUUGUUAUUUAGUAGUAAAAUGACAGUUCCCAGAAGUAUUAGCUCCGGGUUUAACUGCACCACUUUAGCUGAUAUGUUUGUGUAGGUAUUAGAUCUUUAUUUAGGUUGUGGCCAGGGUGUGUAUCAACUCCAAGACUCCCAGUGACCUUAACGUCUGGAUCUUUUUGGAAUCAAAGUACAGCUGAACCCAUGGGUUUGGAAUUAAGCGAUUCCAGUUCUGCAAUACUGAUAGCUCUUUAAGCCAGUUAAUUUAGUUUUCUCUUAAGAGGCACUAGGUGAGUUUCACUGCUUUUCUAUUUGUUUUUAAUACUAAAAGAAGGAAAGUUGUUCUGGGAGUAUAAUAUUUUCGUAUUCGAAAGGCAGGAUUCUGCUACUUUGGUUGUGAAGGCGUGCACCAUACUUUCAUCCUCCCUAUAAAUGUUUGAAUUUCGUAAAUGUAAAGUUUAUUUUCAUUUUUGUUGAAUUGUUUCCAACUCUUAUCAAAUGUGAUGUGUAACUCAUGAUAUAAUAUUGAUUGUUGUUUUUAUUCUUUGAAUCUUAAUAUAUCCAUCAUGUGAAACACUUCUACAGGAAUAACAACCAGAUGGAUUAGCUUUGCAUUCUUGAUGAGUACCGAUGGGAACUUUGGGAAUUCAUUCAGUCAUGGAUCAUAUGACGGUACUUGGAAAUCAUCAAUUCUCUUGCCUUUUUUCCCCUCAUUUUGUUACUUGGCUACCCACUGCUUAAUUAAGUGAUCGUAGAUGAAGCUUCUAAUGGAUGCAAGUAUGCCAUUAUUUAGUUUUUCAUUCUACGAAGAUAUUCAUCCCAUUGUGACGAGUGAGACGAGAUAUUUUUCUCUUUCUCCAAUGUUAAACAUGGUUGAACAUACCUCAUAACAAGAAUUCCUAAUGUUUUCUUCAGGUCUUAUAUAUUUGAUGAUAUGCACAAUAUUUGUUAAAGCCUUUUAAUUUAUAUCCGAUAUGGACCUCUGGCUGUUCUAGGUAAUGGUCGGUCCACACUUUACAGUCAUCCACAAGAAUCGUGGUUGCAUUUUAAGAUUAAUAAGGUAUCAAAAAUAGUAUUUGAAGUUCUUUUAGACCUUACUGUGUUUUGCCUUUUUAAAUCUCUUUAAAAUUAAGCUUGAUUGUUGAUUCUAUAGUAACACUUAUAAACUUCACCAUUUUUAAUUUAGACGAGGUGGGGAGAAAAUAGGACUUCAAAUGAAGGACUCUGCAAGUGCUGAGUUGUUCAGAAUUCAGAUUCCAUGCUGCUUUGUCAAUAUGGUUUUCUUGGUUUGUUUUUGGAAAGAGGUUUAUUUUUUUGUGGUGAUUUUUGAGGUGAACACUAAUUUUAUUGUAGUUUGCAUCCAGCCAUUCAAGUUUGAAGAAUGUUCUUUCAUGGCUCUAAUUUGGCUUCAAUUGAGAAGUUUAAUUUAUGUUGGUUUAAUGGUGUUUAACAGUCAACUAUUUACUUAGGCUGACGAAGUUCCAAAUCUUCAUUGUUCGCUUUAGCAUCUGUUAUUUGACUAAGCUCAUUGUCCAAUACGGUUCAUGAAAACUAUGGGAUUUGAUAGAGAAGAUAACCAUCAACCUGUGUAUAUUACAAUUGGGCUGCAAGUUUCAACACGGUUCAAUUGCAGAUCCUCGCUUUUAAGUUGGUGAACAAAUGACUUUUGCUUCAAAGAAUUCUGUAGAAGGGGGGCUGCCAUUAUCUAUAAAGAUGACCACAGUAGCAUCAAAGUUUGUACAACAACUUCUCAGCUGAAACGUCGAUACCUGGGCGGUCUUCAUUAUAUAUACAUAGAAGUUAAAUUGCCAUCACCACUUCGAAGAGCAAUCAAUUACCAUGCAUGGCCCUAACAAGAAAUGGACUUGGAUAACUGAAUGAGUAUAUUCUUACAAAACCUAUUAUGUGAGUGUAAAAGUUCUUUUCAAGCCUGAUUGUAGCUUCUAUACAAAAUGGUUUUGGAAACAAAAUUUGGAUGACAGUUUUUGGAUACUGAAGUUACACCAAAUUCAUUAAUGCGGUUCAUUCCAUCAUGCGAAAACAUUUGUAAUAACUGAACUGUCAUUUAUAACCCGAAUGUUGAUUCCCUAAACCAAUUUAUUGAUCAGAAUUUUGGAUACAUUUUUCAACUGAUAUUGGAAGGGGAAGAACCUUAGAUUGUUGACAAUAAUCACCAAUACCGCCUAUUACUUAUGGUACCUUUGAUCUCUAUUACUGAAAAUCUUAUUUUUGUAAUCAUUGAAGAACCCAAAAAUGGAAAAUUUG